Long non-coding RNA from Pezoporus flaviventris, 588 nucleotides. RefSeq lists it as uncharacterized. The transcript is spliced from 2 exons. The record is from RefSeq and is a predicted model, not a curated record. NCBI's taxonomy places the organism in Eukaryota, Metazoa, Chordata, Aves, Psittaciformes, Psittacidae.
UACUCUCCCACUUUGGGUGGAUUUCAAAUGGAAGUCAGGCUUAAUUAGAGCUUUUGAAAGCUCAAGAGUUAAUACCUGCCCAUUAAACCUAACCACCAAUCAUUUGCUGUUCAUUUGCUGGCAAUAAGGGGCUGCGCUCACAGGCAUGGCGACUGGGAUGUGGGGCUGUAUUAGUGGGAACCAUCAUGGGAGGAAGGACCAUGGGUAUGGCUCCAUGCCCAGCUUGGGAGGGUAGGCAGAGGCCAGGGAAAGAAGGAGCAGAUGUUUGACCUUUUGGAGGCUUGGAGAAAAGUCUGCAGUUGAGAAACACUAGGAGGGUUGGAAAAUAUUUCAUCUGGUAAAAGUGAAGAGUCUAAGGGAGUGCUUUCUGUGAGGUGUCAUGUUCAUCAGCUCUUUUAAAGGUGAAAACAAUGAUUGGCAUCAAUCGGUUGUUAGCAUGAACUCCAUGAACACAGUGGGCUUGAUGAAGAAAUUAAGCAGAUCUUGUAUUCUCUCUCUUUUCUGCAGUGAGAGAGGAUUUGGAUCACUAAAGUCUCCUUUUCCUGACUUAUCCUGCUUUUAAAUUAACUUGCCUCAGUUUCCCUUCCU